GUGCUUGGCGGAGGCAGGAGGGGAGGCGGAGGUCUUCCUGCGUACGUGAGGAACAGGACCUCAGGUCCGGGCUUGGAGACCCCAGUUUCGUUAUCAUUGGUAUUUGGCCGUUUUAUCAGGCGUUUACAGCUGCGAGGAGACUUGCAGAAUCUAGCUUUUGAAGCUGAAGAAAAUUUUAUCAAUGAAGAAACUCAGCCCACAGAGCUAAAGUGACUUUGUUCAAGGUCACGCAGAUCGGCUAUAUGAGAGCCAAGCCUAGAACCCGUUGUCCUGGACUCUAGUUCUGUUGUCCAGCCCUGGGACUAGACCUCAGCUCUUUGACAGUUGGGUGAAAUGCCCCCGCCUGUGCCUUAAUGAGUAUUCCCUUUUUACGGUACGAACUGUGGAUUGGUGCAGUACCUGCAUCCUCAUUUACAGACGGAGAACCUGAGAGGCAUCCAUCCCAUCCAGAACAGUUGCAGAGCCAACUUGACCCAAAACUGACAACUUGGGUUGCCAGCCUGUCCUGAGAGUAACUGAUCGGUACAGACCCCGGCUUCCGGAUUGCAGAGUAUCAUCAGUCUUCAGUUCCAACUUAGAAGCAAAAGGAGUACAUCCCAGCUGCUCUGUUCUCCUUCAGGAACCAGGACAGAUUCCAAGAAGUAGCAUUUCAGGAUCAAAAGGCACUUUCGGAGGUAGGGUCAUGCUCACAUUCAUGGCCUCUGACAGCGAGGAAGAAGUGUGUGACGAGCGGACGUCCCUGAUGUCAGCCGAGAGCCCCAUGCCGCGCUCCUGCCAGGAAGGCAGGCAGGGCCUGGAGAACGGAGAGGGUGCCACCCAGUGGGUAGGUUCCCACCAGCAGUCCAAGGCCUCCGGACAGAGAGGCCAGGAGAGCGAGGAGGACCAUGAGGAGGACCCUGACCGCUACGUCUGCAGCGGGGUCCCCGGGCGGCCACCAGGCCUGGAGGAGGAGCUGACCCUCAAAUACGGGGCAAAGCACGUGAUCAUGCUGUUCGUGCCUGUCACGCUGUGCAUGGUCGUGGUGGUGGCCACCAUCAAGUCCGUGCGUUUCUACACGGAGAAGAAUGGACAGCUCAUCUACACACCUUUCACCGAGGACACAUCUUCGGUGGGCCAGCGCUUCCUCAACUCCGUGCUCAACACCCUCAUCAUGAUCAGCGUCAUUGUCGUCAUGACCAUCUUCCUGGUCGUGCUCUACAAGUACCGCUGCUACAAGUUCAUCCACGGCUGGCUGAUCAUGUCCUCCCUGAUGCUGCUGUUCCUUUUCACCUACAUCUACCUUGGGGAAGUGCUCAAGACCUACAAUGUGGCCAUGGACUACCCCACCCUGUUCCUGACCGUCUGGAACUUCGGGGCGGUGGGCAUGGUGUGCAUCCACUGGAAGGGCCCCUUGGUGCUGCAGCAGGCCUAUCUCAUCAUGAUCAGCGCGCUCAUGGCCUUGGUGUUCAUCAAGUACCUCCCAGAGUGGUCUGCGUGGGUCAUCCUGGGCGCCAUCUCUGUGUACGAUCUCGUGGCUGUGCUGUGCCCCAAAGGGCCGCUGAGAAUGCUGGUAGAAACUGCCCAGGAGAGAAACGAGCCCAUAUUUCCUGCCCUGAUAUAUUCAUCCGCCAUGGUGUGGACAGUGGGCAUGGCCAAGUUGGACCCCUCCUCUCAGGGAGCCCUUCAGCUCCCCUACGACCCAGAGAUGGAGGACUCCUGUGACAGUUUGGGGGAGCCCUCGUACCCUGAAGUCUUUGCGCCCCCCCUGCCUGGCUACCCGGGGGAGGAGCUGGAGGAGGAGGAGGAAAGGGUCCGAGGAAGUCGCCUGAGGAAGUAACUUCUGAGCUGAGCUCCAGAGGCUGAGCCACUGGAACUCGGAGAGGGGGACGCACAGCGGGGGUGCGUUUCCAGCUGAGGGGACCUUGGGAGCAGAGACCCUGAGGCAGACGGCACGGUGAGUUAGAGCCAGUGAAGGCAGGACGCUGAGACCCGAGUGCAGAGAUGGGGCAGGGAGGCAGGCAGGGACUUGAGGGGCCUUCUGGAUCAAAACGGGGAUCUGGUCUGUGUCCCGUGAGCGGUGGGAGCCGUGGGGGGUGGGGGAGGGUUUUGAGCUGCAUGGGAGGAGGGGCAUGAGGGAGAAGGGCAGGUUUGUGGCUGGCAGAGUGUGCACCUGCGUGGCUUGAGGACGUCCCCAUGCAGCCAUGGGGGACGCAGGCGUGGGCUCUGGGCUCAGAGGGCCGGCUGGGCUGGGCAGGUCAGCGCCAACAGCAUGGCUCCGUGAUGGGACUGACAGUGGAGCUGGGGUGGAGACUCCCCCAGGCAGAGCCCCGGGUGUUUGCGGGCAGAAGGAGCUGGUGUGGAAGGCCGUCCUGAAGACACACCCAAAGACGUUCUAACAUAUGGCUGUGUUCCCAAGGGGAUUAAAAUAGCCAUUCCAUCAGCACACGUUUCUGUACCACCUACUAUGUGCCGGGUGGCACGUGGGAACAGGGAGGUGCUGCAGGAUUAAAACAGCCUCUGCCCUUGAGAAGUUCCCCGUGGGAGCAGCCCAGGUGGGGGAGGUGAGGUAUAAAGUACUCAGGGCAGACCCGGGGAAGAAGAUGAUGCCGAGGUGGGCCUGGAAGGACAAGUCGGUCACCCGGCAGACAGGCUGUCAGGCUGCAGCCCAGGCCUGGCGCUGAGCCCCCGGAGUCAGCGCGGAUCCCACCGGGGCACAGUCCACAAGGCCACCCUCGCUUCACACGCCAGCCCCAAGUCCUGGGGGUCUCCAGGCCACCCGCACUUCUGACCGACUGGCUACAGAUCUGGGGGUUCCCACAACCCCCCCAGGUUGGAAAAGUUGCUAGAACGACUCGCAGAACUCGGGAAAGUACUAAACUUAGAAUUACAGUUUUAGUAUAAAGGAUACAAAUCAGGACCAGCCAGAUGAAGAGCCACAUUGCUCGCGGGACUGGACUUCAUCUCCAGGCUCCCUCUUCUCCCCAGAGGGGGCGUGAAGCUCGGCCUCGGAGACUUCAUCUUCUACAGCGUGCUGGUGGGCAAGGCGGCAGCCACGGGCAGUGGGGACUGGAACACCACGCUGGCCUGCUUUGUGGCCAUCCUCAUC
Orcinus orca (killer whale) is the source of this 3085-nucleotide RNA transcript. It is a transcript of the gene named presenilin 2, with no coding region annotated. The transcript has 13 exons. The record is from RefSeq and is a predicted model, not a curated record. NCBI's taxonomy places the organism in Eukaryota, Metazoa, Chordata, Mammalia, Artiodactyla, Delphinidae.